CUAUAGUCAUAGACUUAUGGACUCAACUUCUCAAAUCUCAUAGGACUAAUCCUGUCGAUCAAGAUCGAUAAAUCCCAUCUAAAAGCACAUCUUGCUCCCACAGCUCAAAUUACAGCUAACAUCCACUAUAAAGACUCAUAAUCGAAUCAAUGCUUAUAUAUAGUAAAACUACAGUAGUCUUACUGUGAAAACUGUGACACCACAGAUCAAAAGAUCAAUAACACAACCAC
Molecule: long non-coding RNA, 230 nt
Filed under: Elaeis guineensis (African oil palm)
Lineage: Eukaryota; Viridiplantae; Streptophyta; Magnoliopsida; Arecales; Arecaceae
Description: long non-coding RNA (EGUI_LNC025431)
Source: RNAcentral